GACGAACCGUACAAACGUUAUUCGGAAUUACUGGGCUUAAAGGGUGCGUAGGCGGCGGUGCAAGUUGGGUGUGAAAUCCCUCGGCUCAACCGAGGAACUGCGCUCAAAACUGCAUUGCUUGAGGGAGAUAGAGGUGAGUGGAACUUAGGGUGGAGCGGUGAAAUGCGUUGAUAUCCUAAGGAACACCAGUGGCGAAAGCGACUCACUGGGUCUCUUCUGACGCUGAGGCACGAAAGCUAGGGUAGCGAACGGGAUUAGAA
Molecule: ribosomal RNA, 260 nt
Filed under: uncultured bacterium
Lineage: Bacteria
Description: partial 16S ribosomal RNA
Rfam family: Bacterial small subunit ribosomal RNA
Source: RNAcentral